UGGUCCUACGGGAGGCAGCAGUAGGGAAUCUUCCACAAUGGGCGAAAGCCUGAUGGAGCAACGCCGCGUGGGUGAAGAAGGUCUUCGGAUCGUAAAACCCUGUCGUUAGAGAAGAAAGUGCGUGAGAGUAACUGUUCACGUUUCGACGGUAUCUAACCAGAAAGCCACGGCUAACUACGUGCCAGCAGCCACGGUAAUACGUAGGUGGCAAGCGUUAUCCGGAUUUAUUGGGCGUAAAGGGAACGCAGGCGGGCCUUUAAGUCUGAUGUGAAAGGCUUCGGCUUAACCGGAGUAGUGCAUUGGAA
RNAcentral lists this ribosomal RNA (305 nucleotides) under uncultured bacterium. Its description in RNAcentral is "bacterial SSU rRNA". It matches the Rfam family "Bacterial small subunit ribosomal RNA", at positions 334 to 631 of the family's 1533-position model. The record is from RNAcentral.